GGUUGCGAUCAUACCAGCACUAAUGCACCGGAUCCCAUCAGAACUCCGUAGUUAAGCGUGCUUGGGCGAGAGUAGUACUAGGAUGGGUGACCCCCUGGGAAGUCCUCGUGUUGCAACCCC
Molecule: ribosomal RNA, 120 nt
Filed under: Helianthus annuus (common sunflower)
Lineage: Eukaryota; Viridiplantae; Streptophyta; Magnoliopsida; Asterales; Asteraceae
Also listed under: 1 other name
Source: RNAcentral